This 476-nucleotide ribosomal RNA is filed under the name uncultured bacterium. RNAcentral describes it as "bacterial SSU rRNA". It matches the Rfam family "Bacterial small subunit ribosomal RNA", at positions 24 to 518 of the family's 1533-position model. The record is from RNAcentral.
UCAGGACGAACGCUGGCGGCGUGCCUAACACAUGCAAGUCGAGCGAGGAGAUCCUCGGGAUGAUCCUAGCGGCGGACGGGUGAGUAACACGUGGGCAACCUGCCUCAUAGAGAGGAAUAGCCUUCCGAAAGGGAGAUUAAUACCUCAUAACAUUGCAGUUUCGCAUGGAACAGCAAUUAAAGGAGUAAUCCGCUAUGAGAUGGGCCCGCGGCGCAUUAGCUAGUUGGUGAGGUAACGGCUCACCAAGGCGACGAUGCGUAGCCGACCUGAGAGGGUGAUCGGCCACAUUGGGACUGAGACACGGCCCAGACUCCUACGGGAGGCAGCAGUGGGGAAUAUUGCACAAUGGGGGAAACCCUGAUGCAAGCAACGCCGCGUGAGUGAUGACGGCCUUCGGGUUGUAAAGCUCUGUCUUCAGGGACGAUAAUGACGGUACCUGAGGAGGAAGCCACGGCUAACUACGUGCCAGCAGCGGC